Podarcis lilfordi (Lilford's wall lizard) is the source of this 114-nucleotide non-coding RNA. Lineage: Eukaryota; Metazoa; Chordata; Lepidosauria; Squamata; Lacertidae. The record is from the annotation of a GenBank genome assembly.
CUUCCAGUAGCACCUUAGAGACCAACUAAGUUUGUUAUUGGUAUGAACUUGUGCAUGCACAUGAAAGCUCAUACCAACGACAAACUUAGUUGGUCUCUAAGGUGCUACUGGAAG